This 257-nucleotide ribosomal RNA is filed under the name uncultured bacterium. RNAcentral's name for it is "partial 16S ribosomal RNA". It matches the Rfam family "Bacterial small subunit ribosomal RNA", at positions 524 to 776 of the family's 1533-position model. The record is from RNAcentral.
UACGAAGGGUGCAAGCGUUAAUCGGAAUUACUGGGCGUAAAGCGUGCGUAGGCGGUUUGUUAAGUCUGUUGUGAAAUCCCCGGGCUCAACCUGGGGAAUGGCAAUGGAUACUGGGCAAGCUAGAGUGUGAUAGAGGAUGGUGGAAUUCCCCGGUGUAGCGGUGAAAAUGCGUAGAGAUCGGGAGGAACAUCAGUGGCGAAGGCGGCCAUCUGGAUCAACACUGACGCUGAGGCACGAAAGCGUGGGGAGCAAACAGG